GGCUCUUUGUACUAAUAAAAUAAAGAGUCCGGCCUGCUCAAUGAUGAUUUAUCAUUAAAUAGCUGCGGAAUCCUAACCGUGUGAAAGUAGCAUAAUCAUUUGCCUCUUAAUUGGUGGCUGGAAUGAAUGGUACGAUGAAAAUAGAGCUGUCUCUAGUGUGUUUUUUUGAAAUUACCUUUUAGGUGAAAAGGCCUAAAUGUAUCUAUAAGACAAGAAGACCCUAUCGAGCUUUAAGUUAGUUGUAUGAAUAAUUUAAUUGACUUUUGGUUGGGGCAACCAGGGGGCAUAAGAAAUCCCUCUUUUUAAUAAAUUACUAACUAGUAAAGAUCCAGUUAUAUUGAUCAGGGGA
This 349-nucleotide ribosomal RNA is filed under the name Patella ulyssiponensis. RNAcentral's name for it is "partial 16S ribosomal RNA". It matches the Rfam family "Archaeal large subunit ribosomal RNA", at positions 1908 to 2426 of the family's 2987-position model. Lineage: Eukaryota; Metazoa; Mollusca; Gastropoda; Patellidae. The record is from RNAcentral.